GACAGGUGUAACAGACAGACAGGUAUAACAGACAGACAGGUAUAACAGACAGACAGGUAUAACAGACAGGUAUAACAGACAGGUAUAACAGACAGACAGGUAUAACAGACAGCCAGGUGUAACAGACAGCCAGGUGUAACAGACAGCCAGGUGUAACAGACAGCCAGGUGUAACAGACAGACAGGUGUAACAGACAGACAGGUGUAACAGACAGACAGGUGUAACAGACAGCCAGGUGUAACAGACAGACAGGUGUAACAGACAGACAGGUAUAACAGACAGACAGGUAUAACAGACAGACAGGUAUAACAGACAGACAGGUAUAACAGACAGCCAGGUAUAACAGACAGACAGGUAUAACAGACAGACAGGUAUAACAGACAGACAGGUAUAACAGACAGACAGGUAUAACAGACAGACAGGUAUAACAGACAGACAGGUAUAACAGACAGACAGGUAUAACAGACAGCCAGGUGUAACAGACAGACAGGUAUAACAGACAGCCAGGUAUAACAGACAGCCAGGUAUAACAGACAGACAGGUAUAACAGACAGACAGGUAUAACAGACAGACAGGUAUAACAGACAGACAGGUGUAACAGACAGACAGGUAUAACAGACAGACAGGUAUAACAGACAGGUAUAACAGACAGCCAGGUAUAACAGACAGACAGGUAUAAC
This is a long non-coding RNA of Oncorhynchus keta (chum salmon), 680 nucleotides long. RefSeq lists it as uncharacterized. The record is from RefSeq and is a predicted model, not a curated record. Lineage: Eukaryota; Metazoa; Chordata; Actinopteri; Salmoniformes; Salmonidae. The transcript is spliced from 4 exons.